RNAcentral lists this microRNA precursor (85 nucleotides) under Drosophila guanche. The record is from RNAcentral. Lineage: Eukaryota; Metazoa; Arthropoda; Insecta; Diptera; Drosophilidae.
CUCACUCAAGAGCAGCACUCACUCACUCUCUUUUCCACAUUGUCUCAAUCUCUCUUUCUGUGUGUGCUGCCUCUCUUUGAGUGAG